GACGAACGCUGGCGGCGUGCUUAACACAUGCAAGUCGAACGGUGACGAGGAGCUUGCUCCUCCGAUCAGUGGCGAACGGGUGAGUAACACGUGAGCAACCUGCCCCUCACUCUGGGAUAACAGUUGGAAACAGCUGCUAAUACCGGAUACGACACAGACAGGCAUCUGUACUGUGUGGAAAGUUUUUCGGUGAGGGAUGGGCUCGCGGCCUAUCAGUUUGUUGGUGGGGUAAUGGCCUACCAAGACGACGACGGGUAGCCGGCCUGAGAGGGCGACCGGCCAACGACUGGGACUGAGACACGGCCCAGACUCCUACGGGAGGCAGCAGUGGGGAAUAUUGGACAAUGGGCGAAAGCCUGAUCCAGCAAUGCCGCGUGAGUGAUGAAGGCCCUAGGGUUGUAAAGCACUUUUGGCGGGAACGAAACGGCGCUUUCUAAUACAGAGUGCUAAUGACGGUACCCGCAGAAUAAGCACCGGCUAACUACGUGCCAGCAGCCG
RNAcentral lists this ribosomal RNA (498 nucleotides) under uncultured bacterium. Its description in RNAcentral is "bacterial SSU rRNA". It matches the Rfam family "Bacterial small subunit ribosomal RNA", at positions 28 to 517 of the family's 1533-position model. The record is from RNAcentral.